GGCGUCAGUCACUGUGACUCUCCUGGAUGAAAAUGACAACAGCCCCACAUUCACCAGCAGCGAGUACGAGGGAAAAGUGUUUGCUGAUCAGACGGAGGGACAGUCGCUGGUCCAGGUCGCAGCAGAAGAUCCAGAUGCUGAUGUAAACGGGAAGGUCAGAUACUCUAUUGACUUUGGAAACAAUGAAGGAUACUUCUCAAUCGAUGAAAACACUGGAGAGAUCUCACUGGCUAAGACCAUCCCCCUGGUGGAAAACAAGAUUUUGGAGUUCACUCUCUACGUAACAGCCAGAGAUGGGGGCGUCAUACCGCGCUCCUCUUCAGCACAAGUGAUAAUUCGAGCUCCUGGUGACUCAAAACCUCAGUUUUUACAAAAAAUCUACCGUGGCAAUGUAGAAGAAGCAAAAGAAGCGGGAGUGGUGAU
Acanthochromis polyacanthus (spiny chromis) is the source of this 423-nucleotide long non-coding RNA. RefSeq lists it as uncharacterized. The transcript has 3 exons. The record is from RefSeq and is a predicted model, not a curated record. NCBI's taxonomy places the organism in Eukaryota, Metazoa, Chordata, Actinopteri, Pomacentridae.